UAGGGAAUUUUUCACAAUGAGCGAAAGCUUGAUGGAGCAAUGCCGCGUGAACGAUGAAGGUCUUUAAGAUUGUAAAGUUCUUUUAUUUGGGAAGAAUGACUUUAGCAGGUAAUGGCUAGAGUUUGACUGUACCAUUUUGAAUAAGUGACGACUAACUAUGUGCCAGCAGUCGCGGUAAUACAUAGGUCGCAAGCGUUAUCCGGAUUUAUUGGGCGUAAAGCAAGCGCAGGCGGAUUGAAAAGUCUGGUGUUAAAGGCAGCUGCUUAACAGUUGUAUGCAUUGGAAACUAUUAAUCUAGAGUGUGGUAGGGAGUUUUGGAAUUUCAUGUGGAGCGGUGAAAUGCGUAGAUAUAUGAAGGAACACCAGUGGCGAAGGCGAAAACUUAGGCCAUUACUGACGCUUAGGCUUGAAAGUGUGGGGAGCAAAUAGGAUUAGAUACCCUAGUAGUCCACACCGUAACGAUAGAUACUAGCUGUCGGGGCGAUCCCCUCGGUAGUGAAGUUAACACAUUAAGUAUCUCGCCUGGGUAGUACAUUCGCAAGAAU
This 545-nucleotide ribosomal RNA is filed under the name uncultured bacterium. Its description in RNAcentral is "bacterial SSU rRNA". It matches the Rfam family "Bacterial small subunit ribosomal RNA", at positions 355 to 895 of the family's 1533-position model. The record is from RNAcentral.